This is a long non-coding RNA of Oncorhynchus keta (chum salmon), 1516 nucleotides long. RefSeq lists it as uncharacterized. NCBI's taxonomy places the organism in Eukaryota, Metazoa, Chordata, Actinopteri, Salmoniformes, Salmonidae. The transcript has 7 exons. The record is from RefSeq and is a predicted model, not a curated record.
GGGUGAUGAAGAGAGAAACAGAUGAAGAGGAGACAGGUACAGGGAGAAGAGAGAGGGUGAUGAAGAGAGAAACAGAUGAAGAGGAGACAGGUACAGGGAGAAGAGAGAGGGUGAUGAAGAGAGAAACAGACGAAGAGGAGACAGGUACAGGGAGAAGAGAGAGGGUGAUGAAGAGAGAAACAGAUGAAGAGGAGACAGGUACAGGAAGAAGAGAGAGGGUGAUGAAGAGAGAAACAGACGAAGAGGAGACAGGUACAGGAAGAAGAGAGAGGGUGAUGAAGGGAGAAACAGAUGAAGAGGAGACAGGUACAGGAAGAAGAGAGAGGGUGAUGAAGGGAGAAACAGAUGAAGAGGAGACAGGUACAGGUAGAAGAGAGGGUGAUGAAGGGAGAAACAGACGAAGAGGAGACAGGUACAGGGAGAAGAGAGAGGGUGAUGAAGGGAGAAACAGACGAAGAGGAGACAGGUACAGGUAGAAGAGAGGGUGAUGAAGAGAGAAACAGAUGAAGAGGAGACAGGUACAGGGAGAGAGAGGGUGAUGAAGGGAGAAACAGACGAAGAGGAGACAGGUACAGGGAGAAGAGAGAGGGUGAUGAAGGGAGAAACAGAUGAAGAGGAGACAGGUACAGGGAGAAGAGAGAGGGUGAUGAAGGGAGAAACAGACGAAGAGGAGACAGGUACAGGAAGAAGAGAGAGGGUGAUGAAGGGAGAAACAGAUGAAGAGGAGACAGGUACAGGAAGAAGAGAGAGGGUGAUGAAGGGAGAAACAGAUGAAGAGGAGACAGGUACAGGUAGAAGAGAGGGUGAUGAAGGGAGAAACAGACGAAGAGGAGACAGGUACAGGGAGAAGAGAGAGGGUGAUGAAGGGAGAAACAGACGAAGAGGAGACAGGUACAGGUAGAAGAGAGGGUGAUGAAGAGAGAAACAGAUGAAGAGGAGACAGGUACAGGGAGAAGAGAGAGGGUGAUGAAGAGAGAAACAGAUGAAGAGGAGACAGGUACAGGAAGAAGAGAGAGGGUGAUGAAGAGAGAAACAGACGAAGAGGAGACAGGUACAGGAAGAAGAGAGAGGGUGAUGAAGGGAGAAACAGAUGAAGAGGAGACAGGUACAGGGAGAAGAGAGGGUGAUGAAGGGAGAAACAGAUGAAGAGGAGACAGGUACAGGGAGAAGAGAGAGGGUGAUGAAGGGAGAAACAGACGAAGAGGAGACAGGUACAGGUAGAAGAGAGGGUGAUGAAGGGAGAAACAGAUGAAGAGGAGACAGGUACAGGAAGAAGAGAGAGGGUGAUGAAGGGAGAAACAGAUGAAGAGGAGACAGGUACAGGUAGAAGAGAGGGUGAUGAAGAGAGAAACAGACGAAGAGGAGACGGGUACAGGGAAAGAGGGGGUGAUGAAGAGAGAAACAGACGAAGAGGAGACAGGUACAGGAAGAAGAGACAGGGUGAUGAAGGGAGAAACAGACGAAGAGGAGACAGGUACAGGUAGAAGAGAGGGUGAUGAAGAGAGAAACAGAUGAA